RNAcentral lists this ribosomal RNA (429 nucleotides) under uncultured bacterium. RNAcentral's name for it is "bacterial SSU rRNA". It matches the Rfam family "Bacterial small subunit ribosomal RNA", at positions 355 to 775 of the family's 1533-position model. The record is from RNAcentral.
UGAGGAAUCUUGCGCAAUGGGGGAAACCCUGACGCAGCAACGCCGCGUGAGUGAGGAAGGCCUUCGGGUCGUAAGGCUCUGUCAGAUGGGAAGAAAUGGAUGGGGGCUAAUAUCGUCCAUCCUUGACGGUACCAUCAGAGGAAGCACCGGCUAACUCCGUGCCAGCAGCCGCGGUAAUACGGGGGGUGCAAGCGUUGUUCGGAAUCAUUGGGCGUAAAGCGCGCGCAGGCGGCUUGGUAAGUCAGAUGUGAAAUCCCUGGGCUUAACCCAGGAAGUGCAUUUGAUACUGCCUCGCUAGAGUACGGGAGAGGAAAGUGGAAUUCCUGGUGUAGAGGUGAAAUUCGUAGAUAUCAGGAGGAACACCGGUGGCGAAGGCGACUUUCUGGCCCGAUACUGACGCUCAGGCGCGAAAGCGCGGGGAGCAAACAG